Molecule: ribosomal RNA, 501 nt
Filed under: uncultured bacterium
Lineage: Bacteria
Description: partial 16S ribosomal RNA
Rfam family: Bacterial small subunit ribosomal RNA
Source: RNAcentral
GACGAACGCUGGCGGCGUGCCUAAUACAUGCAAGUCGAGCGGUGCGAACGAGUACUUGUACCAGCUUGGUCAGCGGCGGACGGGUGAGUAACACGUGGGCAACCUGCCUGCAAGACGGGGACAACUUCGGGAAACCGGUGCUAAUACCGGAUAACACCUAAGACCGCAUGGUCUUCGGUUGAAAGGCGCCCUUUCAGCACUCACUUGUGAUUCCGCGCGCGGUGCGUUAGUUAGUUGGUGAGGUACUGGCUCACCAAGGCGACGAUACCUAGCCGGCCUGAGAGGGUGACCGGCCACAUUGGGACUGAGACACGGCCCAGACUCCUACGGGAGGCAGCAGUAGGGAAUCUUCGGCAAUGGGCGAAAGCCUGACCGAGCAACGCCGCGUGAGUGAAGAAGGUUUUCGGGUCGUAAAGCUCUGUUGUGAGAGACGAAGGAGGGCGGGUCGAGAAGGGCGGCGAAGUGACGGUACCUAACGAGAAAGCCACGGCUAACUACGUG